Molecule: ribosomal RNA, 495 nt
Filed under: uncultured bacterium
Lineage: Bacteria
Description: partial 16S ribosomal RNA
Rfam family: Bacterial small subunit ribosomal RNA
Source: RNAcentral
GACGAACGCUGGCGGCGUGCCUAAUACAUGCAAGUAGAACGCUGAAGGAGGAGCUUGCUCUUCUGGAUGAGUUGCGCACGGGUGAGUAACGCGUAGGUAACCUGCCUGGUAGCGGGGGAUAACUCUUGGAAACGAUAGCUAAUACCGCAUAAGAGUAGAUGUUGCAUGACAUUUGCUUAAAAGGUGCAAUUGCAUCACUACCAGAUGGACCUGCCUUGUAUUAGCUAGUUGGUGGUGUAACGGCUCACCAAGGCGACGAUACAUAGCCGACCUGGUAGGGGGAUCCGCCACACUGGGACCGAGACACGGGCCAGGACCCUACGGGGGGCAGGAGGAAGGAAACUUCGGCAAUGGACGGAAGGCUGACCGGGCAACGCCGGGGGAGGGAAGAAGGUUUUCGGAACGGAAAGAUCUGUUGUAAGAGAAGAACGAGUGUGAGAGUGGAAAGUUCACACUGUGACGGUAUCUUACCAGAAAGGGACGGCUAACUACGUG